CCAGAUCGUUUACCGUGAAAAAAUUAGAGUGUUCAAAGCAGGCAGAUCCAAUUUUCUGCCACCGAAUACAUUAGCAUGGGAUAAUGGAAUAGGACCCUGUCCUCCUAUUUUCAGUUGGUUUUGGCAGCGCGAGGACUAGGGUAAUGAUUAAUAGGGAUAGUUGGGGGCAUUAAUAUUUAAUUGUCAGAGGUGAAAUUCUUGGAUUUAAGAAAGAUUAACUUCUGCGAAAGCGUUUGCCAAGGAUGUUUUCAUUAAUCAAGAACGAAAGUUAGGGGAUCGAAGACGAUCAGAUACCGUCGUAGUCUUAACCAUAAACGAUGCCGACCAGCGAUUAAAAGACGUUGAAUACAAAACACCACCAUCGGUGCCGUCGUCCCAGGC
Molecule: ribosomal RNA, 381 nt
Filed under: Acanthamoeba genotype T4
Lineage: Eukaryota; Discosea; Longamoebia; Acanthamoebidae
Description: SSU rRNA
Rfam family: Eukaryotic small subunit ribosomal RNA
Source: RNAcentral